GCUCAACCGGGGAGGGUCAUUGGAAACUGGGGAACUUGAGUGCAGAAGAGGAGAGUGGAAUUCCACGUGUAGCGGUGAAAUGCGUAGAGAUGUGGAGGAACACCAGUGGCGAAGGUGACUCUCUGGUCUGUAACUGACGCUGAGGCGCGAAAGCGUGGGGAGCGAACAGGAUUAGAUACCCUGGUAGUCCACGCCGCAAACGAUGAGUGCUAAGUGUUAGAGGGUUUCCGCCCUUUAGUGCUGCAGCAAACGCAUUAAGCACUCCGCCUGGGGAGUACGGUCGCAAGACUGAAACUCAAAGGAAUUGACGGGGGCCCGCACAAGCGGUGGAGCAUGUGGUUUAAUUCGAAGCAACGCGAAGAACCUUACCAGGUCUUGACAUCCUCUGACAACCCUAGAGAUAGGGCUUCCCCUUCGGGGGCAGAGUGACAGGUGGUGCAUGGUUGUCGUCAGCUCGUGUCGUGAGAUGUUGGGUUAAGUCCCGCAACGAGCGCAACCCUUGAUCUUAGUUGCCAGCAUUCAGUUGGGCACUCUAAGGUGACUGCCGGUGACAAACCGGAGGAAGGUGGGGAUGACGUCGAAUCAUCAUGCCCCUUAUGACCUGGGCUACACACGUGCUACAAUGGGCAGAACAAAG
RNAcentral lists this ribosomal RNA (637 nucleotides) under uncultured bacterium. Its description in RNAcentral is "bacterial SSU rRNA". It matches the Rfam family "Bacterial small subunit ribosomal RNA", at positions 607 to 1244 of the family's 1533-position model. The record is from RNAcentral.